RNAcentral lists this ribosomal RNA (164 nucleotides) under uncultured bacterium. RNAcentral describes it as "partial 16S ribosomal RNA". It matches the Rfam family "Bacterial small subunit ribosomal RNA", at positions 1337 to 1500 of the family's 1533-position model. The record is from RNAcentral.
AGUAAUGGCAGGUCAGCAUACUGCCGUGAAUACGUUCCCGGGCCUUGUACACACCGCCCGUCACACCAUGAGAGUUGGGAAUACCCGAAGCCUGUGAGCUAACAUUAAGAGGCAGUAGUCGAAGGUAGAAUCAAUGAUUGGGGGUGAAGUCGUAACAAGGUAGC